GCAGGCAGAGGUUACUUCCACUCUUAAUGGGCGUGUCGCGGGUUCGAGUCCCGCCGCCGGUA
Molecule: transfer RNA, 62 nt
Filed under: Kitasatospora aureofaciens
Lineage: Bacteria; Bacillati; Actinomycetota; Actinomycetes; Kitasatosporales; Streptomycetaceae
Also listed under: 12 other names
Description: tRNA-Ser
Source: RNAcentral